This is a non-coding RNA of Equus caballus (horse), 1255 nucleotides long. NCBI's taxonomy places the organism in Eukaryota, Metazoa, Chordata, Mammalia, Perissodactyla, Equidae. The record is from RefSeq and is a predicted model, not a curated record.
GAGAGCUUUUGGUCAUUCCAUUUAACAAAUAUUUACAGGCCCUUCUAUUUCUUUCAAGUUGCCUUGGAGACCUGGGUUCCUGAUGUGUUCUCACAAUGGGAAAGCACGUUACCCUUGGUUUCGGUUGAUGGCUGAGUUCUUUAAGCCACCAAUGAUCGCUCUUGACACUGCGAUAGGCAAACUGGGGAGUGUGAAAUUCUGGAAAUGUGGGAUGGAGAAGAGCACCGACAGUUUCUCUGGAGCAUGCGAGCAGCAGUCUGGGAUACUUCUUUUCACUAUGAGAACAUGAUGAUUUUGAUAUCAUGGUUUCCCAGCACAUGAAAUCAACAUAGGAUACCAGCCCACUGGUACUGCCUUGCAGGUGUGUUCAGUGUCAUCAUUUCUACAGAGAGAAUAUGGGGCCGUAGGGGUGAUUUAGGGUUGGGGUUUGUCACAGUAAAUGGCCAAGGGGCUGACAGAACCUGGAAGGGGGGUGAGAGAAAUACUGAAGGAGGUGGCUCUGGAGUUCAGACAGGCUGGUAAAUUCAGAGCCUCCACGUGGAAGUAAUAGACUAGGUGAUCAGCCAAGCAACGAGAAGUCCCGGAGAAGGCAGAGUCUGUUCACUGGAUGAGGGAGAAGGGUCUGGAGUCGGAAGAGGAGAGCCCCAGACUCAAGAUCUAGUCUGAGGAGCGGCGCCAUGUGAGGACGACGGAUUCAGGAUGCGGCUGGCCGUGAGAGGGACGCGAAGGAAAAUGGAGCUUGUUCAGAGGAGAGAAGUGACCUUGCGGGAGGAAUGACGAGACUUGUCACCUGAGAGAUGGAUGUGUAGCUGGGAGAAAAGAAGACUCAACAGAGUGAGGAGGGCCGCCCUCAAAUAUACGAAAGAGCAUCACUUGGAAGGGCUGCGUCAUAAAAGGCCGAGCUUGCACUUGAUGUUGGAGUCUGAUUAUCAUGUCAAUCUGACUACCCUGAGGCCGUCAUGCUGUGAGGAAGCCCAAGCCACCUGGAGAAAUCACAUGGAGGUGUAUCAGUUGACAGCGCCAGUGGAGGUCCCAGUGGAUAGCCAGCAUUAGCCAUCAGACAUGUUGUACCUCCAGAUGUCCCCGAUCCCCAGUCAUCAAAUCACUCAGCCGUGAGUCACCCUCAGAUGUUGCAUCUUCCCAGCUGAGGCUCCAGACAUCAUGAAGCAGACACAAGCUGUUUCACUAUGCUUUGCCCAGAUUCCUGACCCACAGCAUCUGUGAGCCUAAUAAAAAGGUCCUUUUAAUUGUCUAA